AGGGGGAGGUGAAUUCGGUAGGAUAUGAGGACGAACACCCAGAGGCAAAGGUGGCCACCUGAACUAGAUGUGACGGUCAGAUGUGAGAGGCGUGGGGACAAACAGGUCCGGAACCUGGGUAGUCCAAUUCCAUAAAUAAAGAAGUGAUAUUAGUCGAGGAUUUUGAUUUAAGUGAAGCAGUCAGGCAUAAAGCACUCUUCCCGGGGAGUACGGUCGCAAGAUCAAAUCUCAAAGUAACUAGACGGGGGGCCGUCACAUGUGGUGGAGCAUGUGGUUGAUUUAGGAGCGACGCGCAGAUCUUUACCAACCCUGGACAUCCGGAUCGCGAUUUCCAGAGAUGGAUAUCAUCAGUUCAGCUGGAUAGGGUACUGAUGUUACAUCGUUGUUCUCAGCUGAAAGUGUGAGAUGUUGGGUUAGGCCCCGUUCACAGCGCAACCCUGGUUGCAAGAUGCUAUCAUUCAGUGGGCAAUAUUCGGGAGACUGCCGGUGACAAGCCGGAGGAAGCCGGGGAUGAGGUCCAGUCUUCAUGAUCAUCAUGUGUGGGCCUACACAGAUGGUACCCUUGUAAGUCCUUUGGGCGGCGACUUAGGAUUCUCACCAAUCCCAAAAAGUUAUCUCAGUGUGGGAAGCACUCUGCAAUUGGUCUGCAGGCAUUAGGAGGUGUUAGUCACAGUGGAUCAGCAGGUAUCCGGUGAAUAAUUGCAAGGCCUUGUACACUACUCCCGUCACCCCAUGUGACUGGGUUUUACCCGAAGACGUUGGGGAACCUUUUAGGAGGCAGCCGGCCACGGUAAGGUCAGGGGUUGGGUUGAAGUCGUAACAAGGUUACAAUAAAGCUUAUUUCUGCAUCCAUCCCACACACGGCCGGCCGGGCGAGCAUGCAGCUAGAGGACUCAACCCGCCUUAUUGAAAUUUAAGGAUA
RNAcentral lists this ribosomal RNA (922 nucleotides) under uncultured marine bacterium. RNAcentral's name for it is "bacterial SSU rRNA". It matches the Rfam family "Bacterial small subunit ribosomal RNA", at positions 673 to 1533 of the family's 1533-position model. The record is from RNAcentral.